RNAcentral lists this ribosomal RNA (468 nucleotides) under uncultured bacterium. RNAcentral's name for it is "partial 16S ribosomal RNA". It matches the Rfam family "Bacterial small subunit ribosomal RNA", at positions 28 to 507 of the family's 1533-position model. The record is from RNAcentral.
GACGAACGCUGGCGGCGUGCUUAACACAUGCAAGUCGAACGGAGAGGCCCUGCUGUUGUGGGGUGCUCGAGUGGCGAACGUGUGAGGAACACGAGAGUAACCUGCCCCUGACUUUGGGAUAACUUCAGGAAACUGGUGCUAAUAGCUGAUAGGAUCUCCUGCGGCAGGGGGGGGGUAGGAAAUUUUCGGCGGGUGGGGAUGGAGUCGCGGCUUAUCAGCUUGUUGGUGGGGUAGUGGCUUACCAAGGCUGUGACGGGUAGCCGGCCUGAGAGGGUGACCGGCCACACUGGGACUGAGAUACGGCCCAGACUCCUACGGGAGGCAGCAGUGGGGAAUAUUGCACAAUGGGCGGAAGCCUGAUGCAGCAACGCCGCGUGCGGGAUGACGGCCUUCGGGUUGUAAACCGCUUUCGCCUGUGACGAAGCGUGAGUGACGGUAAUGGGUAAAGAAGCACCGGCUAACUACGUG